CGCGGGAGUCGGGCGGACGCAGUGUUCGCGAACCUGGUCAGGUCCUGACGGAAGCAGCCACAGUGAUGUUUCUGCGGGUCGUUCCGGCUCCUACCUUU
RNAcentral lists this signal recognition particle RNA (98 nucleotides) under Sphingomonas sp. RNAcentral's name for it is "signal recognition particle sRNA small type". It matches the Rfam family "Bacterial small signal recognition particle RNA". Rfam says of the family: The signal recognition particle (SRP) is a universally conserved ribonucleoprotein involved in the co-translational targeting of proteins to membranes. Archaeal SRP consists of a 7S RNA and homologues of the eukaryotic SRP19 and SRP54 proteins. RNAcentral also lists the same sequence under 1 other name. The record is from RNAcentral. Lineage: Bacteria; Pseudomonadati; Pseudomonadota; Alphaproteobacteria; Sphingomonadales; Sphingomonadaceae.